GACGUAGCUCAGUUUGGUAGAGCACCUGGUUUGGGACCAGGGGGUCGCAGGUUCGAAUCCUGUCGUC
Molecule: transfer RNA, 67 nt
Filed under: Weissella paramesenteroides
Lineage: Bacteria; Bacillati; Bacillota; Bacilli; Lactobacillales; Lactobacillaceae
Also listed under: 1 other name
Rfam family: tRNA
About the family: Transfer RNA (tRNA) molecules are approximately 80 nucleotides in length. Their secondary structure includes four short double-helical elements and three loops (D, anti-codon, and T loops).
Source: RNAcentral